UUGUAUAUGAACUAAUUUUUGUCUUAUUUUGCACAUUAUUUUUUUUAGAAGAUCUUAAUGUACGUUUCAAUGUUCUAUCACUGAUCAUUUUUGGAUUUUUCCCAUUUCGUGAUUUCUUAUUCUUUAUGUGGCUGUUACCUUUCGUGUUCUGUGCACUUUUAACUUUCGAUAAUUCUAUACGUUUUUUAAUAAUUUUACGAGUAGUUACCAUCUUGUACACAUGGAAAUUACUUAUGUCCACUUUUCCGAAUCUAAGAGCGGAAACGGAAACGGUUCUGUUGAUAACUUUCUUAUACUAUACGAGUCUAUCUGCUUGAAUUAAAAUGUAAGAACUAAUUGUAUAGAUAAAAGUUUGGAACUGUCACAUGUACAUGUAAGGGUGUGAUGUUCUAUCACCGCUGAGGAUAACGUUCGCAACUUACUACACCUCGGACCGUUACACUUGGUUAACCAAGACAAUCGAGAUCAACGAUUGCUUGCAACACACGUCAAAG
This 494-nucleotide unclassified non-coding RNA is filed under the name Bombus terrestris (buff-tailed bumblebee). Its description in RNAcentral is "misc RNA ENSBTSG00005029519.1". The record is from RNAcentral. Lineage: Eukaryota; Metazoa; Arthropoda; Insecta; Hymenoptera; Apidae.